RNAcentral lists this ribosomal RNA (504 nucleotides) under uncultured bacterium. Its description in RNAcentral is "bacterial SSU rRNA". It matches the Rfam family "Bacterial small subunit ribosomal RNA", at positions 107 to 607 of the family's 1533-position model. The record is from RNAcentral.
UGAGUAAUGUCUGGGAAACUGCCCGAUGGAGGGGGAUAACUACUGGAAACGGUAGCUAAUACCGCAUAACGUCUUCGGACCAAAGUGGGGGACCUUCGGGCCUCACACCAUCGGAUGUGCCCAGAUGGGAUUAGCUAGUAGGUGGGGUAAUGGCUCACCUAGGCGACGAUCCCUAGCUGGUCUGAGAGGAUGACCAGCCACACUGGAACUGAGACACGGUCCAGACUCCUACGGGAGGCAGCAGUGGGGGAUAUUGCACAAUGGGCGCAAGCCUGAUGCAGCCAUGCCGCGUGUAUGAAGAAGGCCUUCGGGUUGUAAAGUACUUUCAGCGGGGAGGAAGGCGAUAAGGUUAAUAACCUUGUCGAUUGACGUUACCCGCAGAAGAAGCACCGGCUAACUCCGUGCCAGCAGCCGCGGUAAUACGGAGGGUGCAAGCGUUAAUCGGAAUUACUGGGCGUAAAGCGCACGCAGGCGGUCUGUCAAGUCGGAUGUGAAAUCCCCGGG